RNAcentral lists this ribosomal RNA (253 nucleotides) under uncultured bacterium. RNAcentral describes it as "partial 16S ribosomal RNA". It matches the Rfam family "Bacterial small subunit ribosomal RNA", at positions 524 to 776 of the family's 1533-position model. The record is from RNAcentral.
UACGUAGGGUGCGAGCGUUAAUCGGAAUUACUGGGCGUAAAGCGCGCGUAGGCGGCUUUGCAAGUCGGGUGUGAAAUCCCCAGGCUUAACCUGGGAACUGCAUUCGAGACUGCAUUGCUAGAGUAUGGGAGAGGGAAGUGGAAUUUCCGGUGUAGCGGUGAAAUGCGUAGAUAUCGGAAGGAACGUCAGUGGCGAAAGCGACUUCCUGGACCAAUACUGACGCUCAUGUGCGAAAGCGUGGGGAGCAAACAGG